Molecule: transfer RNA, 72 nt
Filed under: Sphaerodactylus townsendi
Lineage: Eukaryota; Metazoa; Chordata; Lepidosauria; Squamata; Sphaerodactylidae
Description: tRNA-Ala
Rfam family: tRNA
About the family: Transfer RNA (tRNA) molecules are approximately 80 nucleotides in length. Their secondary structure includes four short double-helical elements and three loops (D, anti-codon, and T loops).
Source: RNAcentral
GGGAGUGUGGCUCAGAGGUAGAGCGCCUACCUUGCAUGCAGAAUAUUCCAGGUUAAAUCCAUGGCAUUUCCA